Molecule: ribosomal RNA, 483 nt
Filed under: uncultured bacterium
Lineage: Bacteria
Description: bacterial SSU rRNA
Rfam family: Bacterial small subunit ribosomal RNA
Source: RNAcentral
AACAAACGCUGGCGGCGUGCCUAACACAUGCAAGUCGUACGAGAAAGGGUCCUUCGGGACCUGAGUAAAGUGGCGCACGGGUGAGUAGCGCGUGGAUAAUCUACCCUUCAGUUGGGAACAACUCAUCGAAAGGUGGGCUAAUACCGAAUAAUACUGCUCGACCUUGGUCGAGCAGCCAAAGAGAGCCUCUGCUUGCAAGCCCUCGCUGAAGGAUGAGUUCGCGUACCAUUAGCUUGUUGGUAGGGUAAUGGCCUACCAAGGCGACGAUGGUUAGCUGGUCUGAGAGGAUGAUCAGCCACACUGGAACUGAGACACGGUCCAGACUCCUACGGGAGGCAGCAGUGAGGAAUCUUGCGCAAUGGGGGAAACCCUGACGCAGCAACGCCGCGUGAGUGAGGAAGGUCUUCGGAUCGUAAAGCUCUGUCAGUUGGAAAAGAAAUGUCUGAGAGUCAAUCCCUUUAGGCUUGACGGUACCAACAGAGG